UAGUAAUAUGUAGCUGUCAUAUCAAGUC
This 28-nucleotide non-coding RNA is filed under the name Mus musculus (house mouse). The record is from RNAcentral. Lineage: Eukaryota; Metazoa; Chordata; Mammalia; Rodentia; Muridae.